AACCCCUAUUGCUAGUUACCAUCAUUAAGUUGGGGACUCUAGCGAGACUGCCAGUGAUAAACUGGAGGAAGGUGGGGAUGACGUCAAGUCAUCAUGGCCCUUACGGCCUGGGCUACACACGUGCUACAAUGGUCGGUACAAAGGGUUGCCAAGCCGCGAGGUGGAGCUAAUCCCAUAAAACCGAUCGUAGUCCGGAUCGCAGUCUGCAACUCGACUGCGUGAAGUCGGAAUCGCUAGUAAUCGUGAAUCAGAAUGUCACGGUGAAUACGUUCCCGGGCCUU
This 281-nucleotide ribosomal RNA is filed under the name uncultured Pseudomonas sp. RNAcentral describes it as "partial 16S ribosomal RNA". It matches the Rfam family "Bacterial small subunit ribosomal RNA", at positions 1100 to 1382 of the family's 1533-position model. Lineage: Bacteria; Pseudomonadati; Pseudomonadota; Gammaproteobacteria; Pseudomonadales; Pseudomonadaceae. The record is from RNAcentral.